This is a long non-coding RNA of Fukomys damarensis (Damara mole-rat), 1092 nucleotides long. RefSeq lists it as uncharacterized. The transcript is spliced from 4 exons. NCBI's taxonomy places the organism in Eukaryota, Metazoa, Chordata, Mammalia, Rodentia, Bathyergidae. The record is from RefSeq and is a predicted model, not a curated record.
CGUAGAAGCAGAGAGAGAAACCUGGAAUACAUCGUCAGAAUCAAUUUUGGCAAUCGACUCUGGCCGUGAAUCAAAGGAUUUAGUGCAACUCAAGGAGUGUUUAUCCCAGAAGAGUGGCCGAGUCUCAUUAGAUCAGCACACUUGGGGGAUUGGAUUUGCUGCACUCUCUUCACGUUCUUUGUCACUCUGUGGCCCAUAACCACAGGGACAUCAACGGCUGCUGGAGGAGAAGAGCACAGCAGAGCCCCUGCAGAGGCCCCUCCCCGGGCAGUGCCACGGGGCCGCCUGGCUGAGGGCUCUGCAAAGACCCCGCUUCCAAGGCGGCCAUGAGUUUGCUGGACUUAGGAUUCAUGCAUUGCAAAAAGAUGGACGGUGAUGAGCAUCUUUCCAUGUGACAUGGUGCUUCAUUAGCAGAGAUGAAAACUAUGAUGGAAAAGACUCAGAGACUCCGAGGCUGAGGCAGCGAUAUUCUUUCCCUGGAUUACUGUGUUGGCCGCCAGUUCUUCCUGCUUUUCCCUGCCCUCUCCCAGCUUCAGUCUACCACAAGCAGCCCAUUGCUUCCUUGCAGGGCACAGGACAUGUGUGAGAACUGAGGCAGGAAGAUCGGAAGGUGAAGAUGCUCACAGGACAACUCGUGCUGGAAACAGGUGCAGAUCGGGAAAUGGUGGCAGGUCUUAAAAGAUUCUCCAGCACCCUCUGCAGUAGAACUUUCUAGAAUGUUCAUGAAAUACUGAAGAAUACAAAGAAUCAGGAAAGACGUUCAUGUCAAGAACCAAGACUUUGGUGUUGGACGUACCUCUUGAGAGUGACAGGAAGGCCUAAAGGAAGAAAGAAAUUGUGGACAGAAGAAAGAACAAGAGGGACAGCACGGAAGAACAAAGAGGAAGAACUUCCCUACAGUGGGACCAUGCUACAAUCUCAGGGGAAAUGGUACAUGAGAGUCAGUCGUGUAUAAACUUUGUAGCUACUUGGAUCUGGUUAACCGAGCUCCGGCAAACCUUGGGAUAUCUCGUGUUUCUCCACCUCCGUGCCUGGUCUGACCCACAUCUGACGCUGAGCAAUUGAACGAAGUCAUAGUUCACAUGCACAGCA